ACAACAAUAGAGGAGGAGGAAUCAUCCCCUCUUUGGCAACUCUCAACCUCACUCUAUUUCUCUCUUUUCAGUGCUGCAAUGGCAGCUACUGCUGGCUGCCUUGGCAGCCCACUCUCUCCUACAUUUCUCACAUCUUUGGCUCUACACACUCUCUCUUAACUCUCUCAUUUUGCUCUCUAACAUAUGCCUCUAUUUAUAGGCAUCCAUGGCAGCUCCACUUGUUCUUUGGUCAAUAAUGGUGGCCACCGUCUCCAGCUCAUUCAACAAU
Molecule: long non-coding RNA, 268 nt
Filed under: Populus trichocarpa (black cottonwood)
Lineage: Eukaryota; Viridiplantae; Streptophyta; Magnoliopsida; Malpighiales; Salicaceae
Description: long non-coding RNA (PTRI_LNC002928)
Source: RNAcentral